UACGUAGGGUGCAAGCGUUGUCCGGAAUUAUUGGGCGUAAAGAGCUCGUAGGCGGUUUGUCGCGUCUGCUGUGAAAAUCCAGGGCUUAACCCUGGACCUGCAGUGGGUACGGGCAGACUGGAGUGCGGUAGGGGAGAUCGGAAUUCCUGGUGUAGCGGUGAAAUGCGCAGAUAUCAGGAGGAACACCGGUGGCGAAGGCGGGUCUCUGGGCCGAUACUGACACUGAGAAGCGAAAGCGUGGGGAGCGAACAGG
RNAcentral lists this ribosomal RNA (253 nucleotides) under uncultured bacterium. RNAcentral describes it as "partial 16S ribosomal RNA". It matches the Rfam family "Bacterial small subunit ribosomal RNA", at positions 524 to 776 of the family's 1533-position model. The record is from RNAcentral.